This 217-nucleotide ribosomal RNA is filed under the name Listeria monocytogenes. Its description in RNAcentral is "partial 23S ribosomal RNA". It matches the Rfam family "Bacterial large subunit ribosomal RNA", at positions 1 to 208 of the family's 2925-position model. The record is from RNAcentral. Lineage: Bacteria; Bacillati; Bacillota; Bacilli; Caryophanales; Listeriaceae.
AGUAAAUUGGUAAAGUUAGAAAGGGCGCACGGUGGAUGCCUAGGCACUAGGAGCCGAAGAAGGACGGGACUAACACCGAUAAGCUUUGGGGAGCUGUACGAAAGCGUUGAUCCAGAGAUUUCCGAAUGGGGGAACCCACUAUCAAUAGUCGGAUAGUAUCCUUACGAGAAUACAUAGCGUGAGGAAGGCAGACCCAGGGAUCUGAAACAUCUAAGUA